RNAcentral lists this ribosomal RNA (754 nucleotides) under Escherichia coli. Its description in RNAcentral is "partial 23S ribosomal RNA". It matches the Rfam family "Bacterial large subunit ribosomal RNA", at positions 482 to 1238 of the family's 2925-position model. Lineage: Bacteria; Pseudomonadati; Pseudomonadota; Gammaproteobacteria; Enterobacterales; Enterobacteriaceae. The record is from RNAcentral.
GACCGAUAGUGAACCAGUACCGUGAGGGAAAGGCGAAAAGAACCCCGGCGAGGGGAGUGAAAAAGAACCUGAAACCGUGUACGUACAAGCAGUGGGAGCCUCUUAAUGGGGUGACUGCGUACCUUUUGUAUAAUGGGUCAGCGACUUAUAUUCUGUAGCAAGGUUAACCGAAUAGGGGAGCCGAAGGGAAACCGAGUCUUAACUGGGCGUUAAGUUGCAGGGUAUAGACCCGAAACCCGGUGAUCUAGCCAUGGGCAGGUUGAAGGUUGGGUAACACUAACUGGAGGACCGAACCGACUAAUGUUGAAAAAUUAGCGGAUGACUUGUGGCUGGGGGUGAAAGGCCAAUCAAACCGGGAGAUAGCUGGUUCUCCCCGAAAGCUAUUUAGGUAGCGCCUCGUGAAUUCAUCUCCGGGGGUAGAGCACUGUUUCGGCAAGGGGGUCAUCCCGACUUACCAACCCGAUGCAAACUGCGAAUACCGGAGAAUGUUAUCACGGGAGACACACGGCGGGUGCUAACGUCCGUCGUGAAGAGGGAAACAACCCAGACCGCCAGCUAAGGUCCCAAAGUCAUGGUUAAGUGGGAAACGAUGUGGGAAGGCCCAGACAGCCAGGAUGUUGGCUUAGAAGCAGCCAUCAUUUAAAGAAAGCGUAAUAGCUCACUGGUCGAGUCGGCCUGCGCGGAAGAUGUAACGGGGCUAAACCAUGCACCGAAGCUGCGGCAGCGACACUAUGUGUUGUUGGGUAGGGGAGCG